This 235-nucleotide ribosomal RNA is filed under the name uncultured bacterium. Its description in RNAcentral is "partial 16S ribosomal RNA". It matches the Rfam family "Bacterial small subunit ribosomal RNA", at positions 96 to 334 of the family's 1533-position model. The record is from RNAcentral.
UGGCGGACGGGUGAGUAAUGUCUGGGAAACUGCCUGAUGGAGGGGGAUAACUACUGGAAACGGUAGCUAAUACCGCAUAACGUCGCAAGACCAAAGAGGGGGACCUUCGGGCCUCUUGCCAUCGGAUGUGCCCAGAUGGGAUUAGCUAGUAGGUGGGGUAACGGCUCACCUAGGCGACGAUCCCUAGCUGGUCUGAGAGGGUGACCAGCCACACUGGAACUGAGACACGGUCCAG